Thalassophryne amazonica is the source of this 197-nucleotide long non-coding RNA. RefSeq lists it as uncharacterized. NCBI's taxonomy places the organism in Eukaryota, Metazoa, Chordata, Actinopteri, Batrachoidiformes, Batrachoididae. The record is from RefSeq and is a predicted model, not a curated record. The transcript has 2 exons.
AUUUAAAGAAGAGAAGAAACUAGUCAACGUGCUGGAUGCUGUUUUCAAGCCUGAAGUUCGCUGAUCCAGAGCAGUCUUUCUACAAACAUGUCUGAAGUCCAGCAGCUGAGGGAAAUGUUGAAACUCCAGCUAACGCCUGCUGAUGAAGGAAGGAUCGCAGACCAGGAAUAAGAAUUGUGUCAUUUAAAAGAAGAGAA